AACUCACUGAGUGAUUCUGAGGACAGGAGUGUCUACAUGGGUUCAAAUCCCAGCUCCAUCAUUUACUAGUUUCUUGGCCUUGGCAAGCCAUUUGACUUUUCUCUAAGCUUCAGUUUCCUCACCUACAACGUGGAGCUCAUAAGAUAGAAUCUACCUAAUACAGUUACCAGGAGGAUUAAUGAAGAUGAUGAUUGUAAAGCAUUUAACACAGUCUCGAGCACAGAUGCUCAGCUCCCAGUGCCCUGAGGAAGAGAAGCUGUCUGUGUGUGAAGGCCCCACAGCUGACAGGAAGAGUCACCAGAUUGUUAUUCAGCCGCAGGAUGUCCUGGCCUCCUAAGACCUUGCCCCUGUCCCCACAGCUUGCCGCCAAGGAGCCUUUAACUGCCAAGGACACAGAGACAGUAAUUCUCUAAUCUGGUCUUCCACAGAAUGUAGCAGAGUAUUGAAUGAGGCAUUCUCUCUACAUUUCACCACAGGAGCCACAAUAGCUAUGGAGUAAGUAAUAAAGCCAACAUGUGUUGAGCACUUAUGCUAUGCCAGGCAGUGUUUUACCUGCGAAAUGACUCAUAAAAUUAACUCGCUGCAUCCUUUCUACAUUCCUGUGAGGUAGAUUUUAUUAUCAUCCUCAUUGUAUACUUGAGACAGUGAAGCACAGAGAGGUUA
RNAcentral lists this long non-coding RNA (663 nucleotides) under Equus caballus (horse). Its description in RNAcentral is "lncRNA (ENSECAG00000052527.1)". The record is from RNAcentral. Lineage: Eukaryota; Metazoa; Chordata; Mammalia; Perissodactyla; Equidae.